Paramuricea clavata is the source of this 870-nucleotide non-coding RNA. The record is from the annotation of a GenBank genome assembly. Lineage: Eukaryota; Metazoa; Cnidaria; Anthozoa; Malacalcyonacea; Plexauridae.
AGGUUGCCGGUAUCGUGGCAUUCUACAUUGUGACAAAAGGUGAACAUCCCUUUGGCGAUAAACCAGACCGACUUCGUAACUUACUGCAUGGUAACCCAAUUGGCUUAUCUAUGCUGAAAGAUUCUGUCUUGAAAGAUUUAUUAUCCUGGAUGCUAAGCGAUGAUCCCAAAGAUAGACCUUCAGCUAAAGAGGCGUUAAAACACCCUUACCUUCAGCCAGCGAAGCAGCAGUUUGACAUGCUGUGCAAAGUGGGAAACCAGCCUGAGAUCAAGACACAUGAUAUCAAAUCUGAUGUCGUGCGAAAGUUUAAUAUCGAUCCCAAAAAUUGGACAUCUCUGGUGAGACCCGAUGUUCUGACGUAUUUGUCCACCGAUCCUUUGAAGGGGAAAAAAUUUCAUUAUAACUCGUCGUGGACGGGCUGUUUACGACUGAUCCGAAAUAUCAAUGAACACUGGCAUGACCGUCCAAGGCCGCGACCAGAAAUAUUCUACAUAGUAGGCGAUCCCCAAGAGUACUUCCUUAACCUAUUCCCCAAUCUUCCUGUCGAGGCGCACAAAAUUAUCAGGUCAUGUAAUUGGAAAGAACGCGUUGAACUGAAGGAGUACUUCAUAUAAGAUACAAUAUGUGGCUUGUCUGCGCGUAAACUAGUCUGAGAAGUUCUUUCAGACGGGAUAAAAACACUGAUCUGAAAGCUAGGACUGGAUAGUGCAUCUAACAUCUAAUUUACUGUGGUAGCGUUGACUACAGUAGUAUAACAUGUACAGGUUGCAACAAUUUCUGUUUACUGCUGAGAAAGGAGAUUUUGUAGAUAGAUAUUGGCCAGCAGUGAUCUUUCUUCUUAAAAUUGAAGUAUAAUAACUAAUGGUCACA